GACGAACGCUGGCGGCGUGCUUAACACAUGCAAGUCGAACGGAAAGGCCCUGCUUUUGUGGGGUGCUCGAGUGGCGAACGGGUGAGUAACACGUGAGUAACCUGCCCUUGACUUUGGGAUAACUUCAGGAAACUGGGGCUAAUACCGGAUAGGAGCUCCUGCUGCAUGGGGGGGGUUGGAAAGUUUCGGCGGUUGGGGAUGGACUCGCGGGUUAUCAGCUUGUUGGUGGGGUAGUGGCUUACCAAGGCUUUGACGGGUAGCCGGCCUGGGAGGGUGGACGGCCACAUUGGGACUGAGAGACGGCCCAGACUCCUACGGGACGCAGCAGUGGGGAAUAUUGCACAAUGGGCGGAAGCCUGAUGCGGCAACGCCGCGUGCGGGAUGCCGGCCUUCGGGUUGUAAACCGCUUUCGCCUGUGACGAAGAGUGAGUGACGGUAAUGGGUAAAGAAGCACCGGCUAACUACGUG
Molecule: ribosomal RNA, 468 nt
Filed under: uncultured bacterium
Lineage: Bacteria
Description: partial 16S ribosomal RNA
Rfam family: Bacterial small subunit ribosomal RNA
Source: RNAcentral